This 1037-nucleotide ribosomal RNA is filed under the name Bambusicola hongheensis. Its description in RNAcentral is "SSU rRNA". It matches the Rfam family "Eukaryotic small subunit ribosomal RNA", at positions 68 to 1115 of the family's 1831-position model. Lineage: Eukaryota; Fungi; Ascomycota; Dothideomycetes; Pleosporales; Bambusicolaceae. The record is from RNAcentral.
AGCACUUAUACCGUGAAACUGCGAAUGGCUCAUUAAAUCAGUUAUCGUUUAUUUGAUAGUACCUUACUACUUGGAUAACCGUGGUAAUUCUAGAGCUAAUACAUGCUGAAAACCCCGACUUCGGGAGGGGUGUAUUUAUUAGAUAAAAAACCAAUGCCCUUCGGGGCUCCUUGGUGAUUCAUGAUAACUUCUCAGAUCGCAUGGCCUUGCGCCGGCGACGGUUCAUUCAAAUUUCUGCCCUAUCAACUUUCGAUGGUAAGGUAUUGGCUUACCAUGGUUUCAACGGGUAACGGGGAAUUAGGGUUCGAUUCCGGAGAGGGGGCCUGAGAAACGGCUACCACAUCCAAGGAAGGCAGCAGGCGCGCAAAUUACCCAAUCCCGACACGGGGAGGUAGUGACAAUAAAUACUGAUACAGGGCUCUUUUGGGUCUUGUAAUUGGAAUGAGUACAAUUUAAACCUCUUAACGAGGAACAAUUGGAGGGCAAGUCUGGUGCCAGCAGCCGCGGUAAUUCCAGCUCCAAUAGCGUAUAUUAAAGUUGUUGCAGUUAAAAAGCUCGUAGUUGAACCUUUGGCCUGGCUGGCAGGUCCGCCUCACCGCGUGUACUUGUCCGGCCGGGCCUUUUCUUCUGGAGAACCGCAUGCCCUUCACUGGGUGUGUUGGGGACCAGGACUUUUACUUUGAAAAAAUUAGAGUGUUCAAAGCAGGCCUUUGCUCGAAUACGUUAGCAUGGAAUAAUAGAAUAGGACGUGCGGUCCUAUUUUGUUGGUUUCUAGGACCGCCGUAAUGAUUAAUAGGGACAGUCGGGGGCAUCAGUAUUCAAUUGUCAGAGGUGAAAUUCUUGGAUUUAUUGAAGACUAACUACUGGGAAAGCAUUUGCCAAGGAUGUUUUCAUUAAUCAGUGAACGAAAGUUAGGGGAUCGAAGACGAUCAGAUACCGUCGUAGUCUUAACCAUAAACUAUGCCGACUAGGGAUCGGGCGGUGUUUCUAUUUUGACCCGCUCGGCACCUUACGAGAAAUCAAAGUGUUUGGGUUCC